This 497-nucleotide ribosomal RNA is filed under the name uncultured bacterium. RNAcentral describes it as "partial 16S ribosomal RNA". It matches the Rfam family "Bacterial small subunit ribosomal RNA", at positions 28 to 507 of the family's 1533-position model. The record is from RNAcentral.
GAUGAACGCUGGCGGCGUGCCUAAUACAUGCAAGUCGAGCGAACAGACGAGGAGCUUGCUCCUCUGACGUUAGCGGCGGACGGGUGAGUAACACGUGGAUACCUAACCUAAAGAUUGGGGCAAAUUCUGGAAAACGGGAUCAAAAACGGGAUAUUAAUUUGCACGGCAGGUUCGAUUAGUAAAGGUGGGUUUUUUGGUCACUUUUGGUUGAUUCUCGGCCUAUUUGGCUAGUUGUUAAGGUAACGCCUUACCAAGGCACCGAUGCGUACCCGACCUGAGAGGGUGAUCGGCCACACUGGAACUGAGACACGGUCCAGACUCCUACGGGAGGCAGCAGUAGGGAAUCUUCCGCAAUGGGCGAAAGCUUGACGGAGCAACGCCGCGUGAGUGAUGAAGGUCUUCGGAUCGUAAAACUCUGUUAUUAGGGAAGAACAAAUGUGUAAGUAACUAUGCACGUCUUGACGGUACCUAAUCAGAAAGCCACGGCUAACUACGUG